Molecule: small nuclear RNA, 106 nt
Filed under: Carlito syrichta (Philippine tarsier)
Lineage: Eukaryota; Metazoa; Chordata; Mammalia; Primates; Tarsiidae
Source: RNAcentral
GUGUUCUCUUCGGUAGCACAUAUACUAAAAUUGGAACAAUACAGAGAAGAUUAGCAUGGCCGCUGUGCAAGGAUGACAGCAAAUUCGUGAAGUGUUCCAGGUUGGG